Homo sapiens (human) is the source of this 2236-nucleotide long non-coding RNA. Ensembl annotates it as long intergenic non-protein coding RNA 1515. The record is from Ensembl. Lineage: Eukaryota; Metazoa; Chordata; Mammalia; Primates; Hominidae.
AAACGGCUGGGUAGGAAGCACGCUAGCAGGGGCCUCUGGCCUUGCUGAGGGUCCCUGUUUCCCCUUUUCCUUCCUUUUCACCCAACAAAACCCUGCUUUACUCACCCUUCAAACCAUCUAUGAGCCUAAAUUGUCGUGGUCGUGGAAUGGACAAGGACCCAGUCUUUAGCUGAACUAAGGGAAAGUCCUGCUUUUUGGCGCGCAACAGGGGAGCUCAAGAAACAGGCCUCACUCACGGCAUAUGGAACUAACCACGCCCCUAACUAAGAAGGCACACCUUAGUUGCAGUUAGCACACAAUUAAAGCAACUCUCCAAGUUUUACCUUAAAGUUCAAAAUUGCUAGGAGUUGAAACUACUAGAAAUAUAUUUACAUGCAAGAGUCAAAGAAACUUUGAACUAUUUAUGGCCUUUAAUAAUUAAGUAAGGUAUACUCCUGUGAUCAAGACUUGGAGCAUAUUUGUUUCUCUCUGCCUGGUUCCUCUAGAAAUUGGAAACUAUCAGAACAGAGACCAACUCCGUUUCCCGAUCCCUUUGCAAUCUGCAUUGAACCAUGAGUCAAGUUCUUGAUAAAGGAGUGAAAAUGUGUGUGACACAUGUGCUCAUGGAUUAUUGUCCGAAGCAAGACAUGUGACCAAGCCUAACAUCAACUGGGUGAAGAGCUAUAUGUUCCUUUCUCAAGAGGCACUACAAGUGACAUGCCACUGGGCAGGCCCAUCCGUGGCUGCCCAUGGACCAAUCAGCAUGCGCUUCCUCUCUUCUGAGCUCAUGAAAACCCUGGACUCAGCCAGACUUGCACACUCGUCAGGACAACAUCCCUGCAGAAAGGAGCUACUUGCCAUGUUUCUCCUCUCCUCUGUGAGCUGGAACCCCAUCAGGACAACUUGCCUAUGGAAAGGAGCUACCCACUUUGGGUCUCCUGAAAGCUGUUUUGUCACUCAGUGAAGCUCCUCUGCCUUCCUCACCCUCAAAUUGUCCAUGUAUCUCGUUCUUCCUAGAUGCAGGAAAAGAACUGGGACCUGCUGAAUGGUGAGAAUGAAAGAGCUGUAACACAAACAGGGCUGAAAUAUGCCCCCUGCUCACCACAUUGUGAGUGAUGAGGAGAAAAGAGCUGCAGCCCUUCUGGGAAUGCAGACAUCAGGUCUCCCUGAACUAGGGCUGUGGCACUCUCUUUGGGGCUCUGCUUUUGGGCACCAUCGCAUUCCCCUUGUCUAGAUGCUGGUGCCCACAGCCAAAGCUGCUUUUAAUAUGCCUGGUCUAGCUUCAGUCUUCCAUGGAGCUGGUGCCUGUGCCAGUGCCUGGAACCGCCCACCCCUCUGCCACAGCUGGAGCACCUGGCUGUGUGCAGUGGCUGGACCCUGCACUCACUUGCUCACACAUCCCUCACUGCUCCAUGCCUGGCUUGCCCAUGGCAGUUAGGGGAUGCGGCUGGUAGCACAAGCCGAGCAGGGGCUGCUGGGCUGAGUGGGUGGAAUGAGCCCAGCGAGCACAAGCAAAACCUAAGCAGAGGCACCACCAGCCACAGAGGUUUCUGGCUGGCAAAUUGACACCCUAGGAAUCCCAUGACAGCCUGGGCUCCCUGGUUGCCCACUGCAUUCUGGGAGAGCUUAAGGAUCCACUGUCUUUAACAUCAAGUUUUCUAACCUAUAUCUGUUGAGACUUUUUAAGUUACAUCAUUUCAGAAACAUUAACCAUUUUUCCGUCAGAAUCAAAGCCUGAAUUCCAAAUCUUUUGGUACCAGUAGCAUAUUUUUACAGUAAUUUUCAUUUUUCAACCCUGGCCGUUCUGAUUUUGUAGUGUACCAGCCCCUACUCUGGCAUGAGAUGGAAAGGCUAGGGAAACUAGGGGUUCAAACAUUGCAUUUUCAGCUGUUUGAGAUAAUAUAAGCUUUGUGUUAUGAUUCUGCAGGAAAAUAAAUAAGUAGAUAAAUAAAUAGCACCAAAAAAUAACCAUUAAAUGUCUCUGAGGGGCAGACUAAUGAUAAGCCAUAAAUUAGGGCAUAAAUACAUUGAUCAGCUGGCUACUAGCAAACCACCAGAACUCUGCCGCUAUCUGGAAUGAUAACCUGUGGGAUACAGUCAACUUUCUGCCAGAGCUCCAUUUGAGCUUGAGCCUGUCAUACUCAGCUGAUGCCCAAGUGACCCCUUCUCUCAUCUUUCAUUCAUUUUUCAUGCUUACAUUUUCAUACUACCCUGCUUUGUUCCCUUGCCACCUCUUACUUCCCUCCAGAGGUUUACA